This is an RNA transcript of Mytilus californianus (California mussel), 456 nucleotides long. It is a transcript of the gene named cytochrome c oxidase subunit 6C-like, with no coding region annotated. NCBI's taxonomy places the organism in Eukaryota, Metazoa, Mollusca, Bivalvia, Mytilida, Mytilidae. The record is from RefSeq and is a predicted model, not a curated record. The transcript is spliced from 3 exons.
CAACACUUCACCGGAAAAUAGUGAGUAACUUCCCCUUAAAAUUUUAGAAGGUCAUUCAGCAAAUUAUAUAUUUUUCAUUUGAAAAAGAUGGCAACCAAACUUCCCAAACCAGUAAUGAAAGGAUUAUGGGUAAAGUCUUAUGCUUACCACAUGAAAGUUGGAGCUGUUCUUACUGUUGCAGCAGUUGGUUUAUAUAAAGCAUGGGAAGAAUAUUUUUUCACUUCCAGAUGGACAGCAUUUGAGAAAACUUAUGACAUGGAAAAAGAUUUCCAGAGGAAGAUGAAAGCUGGAGUAUUUCAAUGUAUAGACAGUAAUGGGGUUAUAAGGAAGAGUGAUGAUUGAUUCAACAUGUUAAAAUGUAGAGUGAUGAUUGAUACAACAUGUUAUAAUGUUCAGUGACCAAAAUUUACAAUUUGUCUGUACAGAAGUGAAAUAAAAACAAAAGCCAUCUUUAAA